CAGUCGCCACGGUAAUACGAAGGGGGCUAGCGUUGUUCGGAAUUACUGGGCGUAAAGCGUGCGCAGGCGGUUUUGUAAGACAGGCGUGAAAUCCCCGGGCUCAACCUGGGAAUGGCGCUUGUGACUGCAAAGCUAGAGUGCGGCAGAGGGGGAUGGAAUUCCGCGUGUAGCAGUGAAAUGCGUAGAUAUGCGGAGGAACACCGAUGGCGAAGGCAAUCCCCUGGGCUUGCACUGACGCUCAUGCACGAAAGCGUGGGGAGCAAACCGGAUUAGAUACCCCGGUAGUCCCUGUCUCUUAUAC
RNAcentral lists this ribosomal RNA (301 nucleotides) under uncultured bacterium. RNAcentral's name for it is "partial 16S ribosomal RNA". It matches the Rfam family "Bacterial small subunit ribosomal RNA", at positions 509 to 807 of the family's 1533-position model. The record is from RNAcentral.